CCUACGGGAGGCUGCAGUGGGGAAUAUUGGGCAAUGGGCGCAAGCCUGACCCAGCAACGCCGCGUGAAGGAAGAAGGCUUUCGGGUUGUAAACUUCUUUUCUCAGGGACGAAGCAAGUGACGGUACCUGCGGAAUAAGCCACGGCUAACUCCGUGCCAGCAGCCGCGGUACUACGUAGGUGGCAAGCGUUGUUCGGAUUUACGGGGUGUAAAGGGCGUGUAGGCGGGAAGGCAAGUCAGAUGUGAAAACCAUGGGCUCAACCUGUGGCCUGCAUUUGAAACGGUUUUUCUUGAGUACUGGAGAGGCAGGCGGAAUUGCUGGUGUAGCGGUGAAAUGCGUAGAUAUGAGGAGGAACACCAGUGGCGAAGGCGGUCUGCUGGACAGCAACUGACGCUGAGGCGCGAAAGCGUGGGGAGCAAACAGGAUUAGAUACCCCUGUAGUC
This 443-nucleotide ribosomal RNA is filed under the name uncultured bacterium. Its description in RNAcentral is "partial 16S ribosomal RNA". It matches the Rfam family "Bacterial small subunit ribosomal RNA", at positions 338 to 795 of the family's 1533-position model. The record is from RNAcentral.